AUGAACGCUGGCGGCGUGCCUAAUACAUGCAAGUCGAGCGAACAGACGAGGAGCUUGCUCCUCUGACGUUAGCGGCGGACGGGUGAGUAACACGUGGAUAACCUACCUAUAAGACUGGGAUAACUUCGGGAAACCGGAGCUAAUACCGGAUAAUAUAUUGAACCGCAUGGUUCAAUAGUGAAAGACGGUUUUGCUGUCACUUAUAGAUGGAUCCGCGCCGCAUUAGCUAGUUGGUAAGGUAACGGCUUACCAAGGCAACGAUGCGUAGCCGACCUGAGAGGGUGAUCGGCUACACUGGAACUGAGACACGGUCCAGACUCCUACGGGAGGCAGCAGUAGGGAAUCUUCCGCAAUGGGCGAAAGCCUGACGGAGCAACGCCGCGUGAGUGAUGAAGGUCUUCGGAUCGUAAAACUCUGUUAUUAGGGAAGAACAAAUGUGUAAGUAACUAUGCACGACUUGACGGUACCUAAUCAGAAAGCCACGGCUAACUACGUG
Molecule: ribosomal RNA, 496 nt
Filed under: uncultured bacterium
Lineage: Bacteria
Description: partial 16S ribosomal RNA
Rfam family: Bacterial small subunit ribosomal RNA
Source: RNAcentral